Molecule: long non-coding RNA, 1015 nt
Organism: Bubalus bubalis (water buffalo)
Lineage: Eukaryota; Metazoa; Chordata; Mammalia; Artiodactyla; Bovidae
Exons: 5
Source: RefSeq, a predicted model, not a curated record
CCCCAACCCCACACACCCACACUCACUCUCGUCAGGGUUGGGGGAGGCCAGGAUGGCGCUGUGUUUCCGCUUCACCUCCUCCACGUUCUCCGAGAUCUUGUCAAUGAAGCCUCGGAUCUCUUCCACCUGUGGGCCAAGGCGCAGAGUUGGGUCUGGCAGGCACCAGAGGCCAGGCAUGUUGUUAUUUGGCUCGGGGCCUGCCUUGGGUCUCAGCCACAGGUGUCGGCUCGGCCCCUCGGCCCCAGGAGCCACCACACAAAAGCCAGGCCAUCACAAGGUUGGAGCAGGACAAGAUAGAAACUGAAUCUGCUGCUGACUGUGGUCUGAGCAGGGCCAAAGAUCUGACCCACCACCUCCCUCUUUCUACAAAGUCGACCUCUGUUAAUGCAGCCAGAGAUCACAGAAGCCAUCACACAGUUCUUCCUGCCAAGGAAGAAGCCCUUCCCCUCCCUGUUUACUUGGUUGGCUUUUGGGCUCAAAUGAAGGAUCUUCAUUUGUUCUGAUCCUUGUCCCAGUCUGUGAGAAUCUGAUGGUUUAUGCCUUUGUUGCCCCCUCCUACUUUAUUCCCAUCUAUGCCAAGGCCCUGAUUGAUUAGGGCCCCAGCUCCCUUGGGAACCGGCCAACCCUCUCAAAGUGGCAGUCACAGCUCCAGAAAGACGGCUGGACUGGAGUUGGGACCGGAGAGGCUGUGGUGCGGAGGCAGCAGCUGGAGUCGUGAGGCAGUUACAAGCUCCGAGGGUGAAGCGGGCUGGCUCCAUUAUGCAGACAAAUGAGCACAGAGAGGUUAAGGCACCCACCUGCCUGUUCUUGCUCCAAGACCCUCAGUCCCUUCAGAAGUCGGCAGAGGGGGCACUGGGCUUCACCACUCAGGCCUGUCUGCUGCCCCGGAGAGGAUCAGCCCCCGUGAGAGAUGAGGAGGGCUGGAGAAGGCUGGAGGGCUGGGCCCGGCCUGCAGCGCGGAGGAAACAUGCCAGCUCCUUCCCCAAGUGUGACUUUUAUAAAUAAGCUCCCUUCU